This 26-nucleotide non-coding RNA is filed under the name Rattus norvegicus (Norway rat). The record is from RNAcentral. Lineage: Eukaryota; Metazoa; Chordata; Mammalia; Rodentia; Muridae.
UGUGAGCAGGUAGCCAUGAUGGUCCC